CAAGCUGCCACUGUCCAUCCUCUCAAUCCCAGGACUCGUUCAGAAACAGAGUGGGCACGGUCAGAGUUCGCACCUUCCAGACGAAGCCUGUGCCACUCCUGGGGCAGCUGAUGGGGUGCCUCACCCUGUGCUGCGCCGAGAAGGACAAGGACAUCAGCUGUGGGUCUGCAGAGGCUCUUCACGCCUUCCACAGGAUCGUGAUGGUGCGACAGAGCCACUUCAUGACACCUACCUAUCCGUAUCUCUUUCUGGAGCGGGAAUGCCCAAGCACCUUCCGGCCCAAGGACGCUGCUAACGAGCUGACGGUAUUUGGCAGCUUCCUCUUCCCCGUCGAGAGGACGAACUUCAUCCUCACCAUCUUGGAGGGCAUGACACACCCCAGGGUCUCCGACAAAAAGGUGGUUGCCCGUGUGUUGGAUAUGAUCACAGACUCAGACAUGGAGGAGGUGCCACGGGUCAUGCGGAUCAUCCAUGACUGCCUGGCGACGGUCAGAGAGGAAUCACUCCUGGACAUCCUGAAGAGGACCCUUUUCCAGAUCACCUCCUUGCACCCUGGGCACGCGGUCCAGGGCCUGCUGGAGGUCUUCCCGUGGUGCGACAGGGUUGCCACGGCCAUGUGGCAGACGAUGGUCUCCGAGCCCUGCGUUGCAGAGGACGUGCUGAGAAACCUGCUGAAGCAACGCAUAGGGCCUGAGCACGAUGUCUUUGGCUCACCCCACAGCUGUGUCCGUUCCUGGGCUGUGAGUUCCUGGACCAGGCCUCGCUCACCCCCAGUGGGGCUGCACUCCCCUCCCCAUCCCCUCCUCCCCUCUUCCUCUGUCCCCAGUCGACAGCCUCCCCUGGGGCUCCCCAGUCAGGGGGGCUGGGAGCCAGAGCCCAGCAGGGCCACAUGCACUGCUGGGGCCCCACUGCGCACAGGCACGCAGCCCACCCCUGCCCUGCCGCUCUCUGUCCUCCUCCCUCCCCGCCUGCUCCUGCCUUGCUGGGCAGCCCCGGGCAGGGCGGCUGCCUGGCCCAAGCAGGCUGCAAGGUUUGGCCCAGGGAGCUGAGGACAGCUGGCAAGACCCCCGGGGCCUGCUGGGCCCUUUGCUCUGGACACAAAAAGCUGGCUUGCCCAUGCCACAAAGCAGAGCCGAACCCAGGGAGCCGCUGGGACUGGGCCCCAGGCCAGGCAGCCAGGCAGCGGGCUCAGAGCGAUGCCUCACCCCCACCUCCCUCACCCCCCAACCCGCAAGCUCUGGCAGUGCUGCAGGGACACCCGUGCACUGAGAGCUGCACCUGACUGUUUUCUGCAGGUAACCAGCGCCAUGAACAAGAUCUUCCAGCUGCCCUCC
This 1334-nucleotide long non-coding RNA is filed under the name Anas platyrhynchos platyrhynchos (common mallard). RNAcentral's name for it is "lncRNA (ENSAPLG00000022337.1)". The record is from RNAcentral. Lineage: Eukaryota; Metazoa; Chordata; Aves; Anseriformes; Anatidae.